RNAcentral lists this ribosomal RNA (253 nucleotides) under uncultured bacterium. RNAcentral's name for it is "partial 16S ribosomal RNA". It matches the Rfam family "Bacterial small subunit ribosomal RNA", at positions 524 to 776 of the family's 1533-position model. The record is from RNAcentral.
UACGUAGGGGGCAAGCGUUGUCCGGAAUCAUUGGGCGUAAAGCGCGUGUAGGCGGCCCGGUAAGUCCGCUGUGAAAGUCCAGGGCUCAACCCUGGAAUGCCGGUGGAUACUGUCGGGCUCGAGUCCGGAAGAGGCGAGUGGAAUUCCUGGUGUAGCGGUGAAAUGCGCAGAUAUCAGGAGGAACCCCAAUGGCGAAGGCAGCUCGCUGGGACGGUACUGACGCUGAGACGCGAAAGCGUGGGGAGCAAACAGG